RNAcentral lists this ribosomal RNA (552 nucleotides) under uncultured bacterium. RNAcentral's name for it is "bacterial SSU rRNA". It matches the Rfam family "Bacterial small subunit ribosomal RNA", at positions 355 to 896 of the family's 1533-position model. The record is from RNAcentral.
UGGGGAAUUGUUCGCAAUGGGCGCAAGCCUGACGACGCAACGCCGCGUGGAGGAUGAAGAUCUUCGGAUCGUAAACUCCUGUCGAGCGGGACGAACGGCUCGGGACCUAACACGUCCCGGGGAGUGACGGUACCGCUAAAGGAAGCCCCGGCUAACUCCGUGCCAGCAGCCGCGGUAAUACGUAGGGUGCGAGCGUUAAUCGGAAUUACUGGGCGUAAAGCGUGCGCAGGCGGCUUUUUAAGCCAGACGUGAAAUCCCCGGGCUUAACCUGGGAAUGGCGUUUGGGACUGGAAGGCUUGAGUGCGGCAGAGGGAGGUGGAAUUCCUGGUGUAGCAGUGAAAUGCGUAGAUAUCGGGAGGAACACCGAUGGCGAAGGCAGCCUCCUGGGCCAGCACUGACGCUCAAGCACGAAAGCGUGGGGAGCAAACAGGAUUAGAUACCCUGGUAGUCCACGCCCUAAACGAUGUCAACUGGUUGUUGGUGGGGUUAAACCCAUUAGUAACGAAGCUAACGCGUGAAGUUGACCGCCUGGGGAGUACGGCCGCAAGGUUG